GGUACAAGUCCCCAUGAGAGGGGCAUGUUAUCCCGGAGCGGGUGCUAGGCCCGUACCGCCGCAGGUCCGUGCGCGGAGUUGCCGUUCUCCCGGGAGUCGGGUUGCUUGGGAGUGCAGCCUAAAGCGGGUGGUAAACUCCACCUAAAGCUAAAUAAGACCGAGAGACCGAUAGCGAACAAGUACCGUGAGGGAAAGUUGAAAAGCACUUUGAAGAGAGAGUUCAAGAGUACGUGAAACCGUUCAGAGGUAAACGGGUGGGACCUCGAAGUCCGAAGGCGGUGGUGGAUUCAGCGGAUACCUUACCUCUCCUACGUGGGCGUCACCCCACGACGGGGCCUUACCUAGUAGGUCGAAUAAGGUGCCCGCGCACUUCCACACCCCGUCCAUUAGGGCGUCGCGACCGGUUGGAAGGCCGUCGCAAGGGCGGACCAGAAAGGUGGCCGCAUUUUCUUUAUGGAUCUGCGGUGUUACAGGCGGUCCAGCCCCGACGGGUCGUCCGACCGGGGUCGAGUUCAUCUCUUAUGCGUUCCCUUCCAGAAGGAAGCGGCGUCCGGGUCGGAUUUCCUGCGGCUAGGCGUGCCACCUUCAAAGGUGAGCGACUACCGUGGGGUCUUCGUUCCCGAGGCGACCGCGGGGAGCAGGAGGUCGCGGCGAGUAGGUCGGUUACCCACCCGACCCGUCUUGAAACACGGACCAAGGAGUCUAACGCGUGUGCGAGUUCCCGGGACUUGAAUAGGCCCGCGGGCGCAAUGAAAGUGAAGGGCGACUUUACGUCGUCUUAGUUGGGAUCCUCUCCAUUCAUUGGGGAGGCGCACCAACGGCCCGUCCGACGUCGUUCUCGGCGGGGCGGAGCUAGAGCAUACGCUCUGGGACCCGAAAGAUGGUGAACUAUGCCUGGGCAGGACGAGGCCAGAGGAAACUCUGGUGGAGGUCCGUAGCGAUUCUGACGUGCAAAUCGAUCGUCAGAC
This 968-nucleotide ribosomal RNA is filed under the name Roncocreagris sp. MCZ 130546. Its description in RNAcentral is "LSU rRNA". It matches the Rfam family "Eukaryotic large subunit ribosomal RNA", at positions 178 to 910 of the family's 3401-position model. Lineage: Eukaryota; Metazoa; Arthropoda; Arachnida; Pseudoscorpiones; Neobisiidae. The record is from RNAcentral.